CAAUAGCGUAUAUUAAAGUUGUUGCAGUUAAAAAGCUCGUAGUUGGAUUUGUGGCGUACGGUGUGUUCCGGGCACUUGUUGUCUGAGUAACCUGCUGUUGCCAUCCUUGGGUGGAACCUGUGUGGCAUUAGGUUGUCGUGCAGGGGAUGCCCAUCAUUUACUGUGAAAAAAUUAGAGUGUUCAAAGCAGGCUUAUGCCGUUGAAUAUAUUAGCAUGGAAUAAUGAGAUAGGACUUUUUUGCUAUUUUGUUGGUUUGCGCAAAGAGGUAAUGAUUAAUAGGGACAGUUGGGGGUAUUCGUAUUCCAUUGUCAGAGGUGAAAUUCCUGGAUUUUUGGAAGACGAACUACUGCGAAAGCAUUUACCAAGGAUGUUUUCAUUAA
This 380-nucleotide ribosomal RNA is filed under the name uncultured eukaryote. RNAcentral describes it as "partial 18S ribosomal RNA". It matches the Rfam family "Eukaryotic small subunit ribosomal RNA", at positions 592 to 976 of the family's 1831-position model. The record is from RNAcentral.